This 417-nucleotide unclassified non-coding RNA is filed under the name uncultured Sebacina. RNAcentral describes it as "sequence contains ITS2". The stretch from base 1 to 154 matches the Rfam family "5.8S ribosomal RNA". Lineage: Eukaryota; Fungi; Basidiomycota; Agaricomycetes; Sebacinales; Sebacinaceae. The record is from RNAcentral.
AACUUUCAACAAUGGAUCUCUUGGCUCUCGCAUCGAUGAAGAACGCAGCGAAAUGCGAGAAGUAAGGUNAAUUGCAGAAUGCAGUGAAUCAUCGAAUCUUUGAACGCACCUUGCACCCUUUGGCAUUCCGAAGGGUAUGCUCGGUUGAGUGUCAUUGUACUCUCACACUCCCGAUGCUUUUGGAUUGGGAGUGGUGGACUUGGGUGUUGCUGCUUUACUGUGGCUCACCUCAAAUGGAGUAGUGCAACUCUUGGUUGGACAUAGUACGGCGUGAUAAGUGUCUUCGCCGGCGCCUCAUUAGAGGGUGGCCGAUCGGGAGCUCUGUGCUUCAACCCGUCUUCGGACAACAUCUGACAACUUGACCUCAAAUCGAGUAGGACUACCCGCUGAACUUAAGCAUAUCAAUAAGCGGAGGCU